ACUCCUACGGGAGGCAGCAGUGGGGAAUUUUGCGCAAUGGGCGAAAGCCUGACGCAGCAACGCCGCGUGAGUGAUGAAGGCUUUCGGGUCGUAAAGCUCUGUCGAGGGGAAAGAAGUGUAUUGUGGCUAAUAUCCACGAUACUUGACGGUACCCCUAAAGGAAGCACCGGCUAACUCCGUGCCAGCAGCCGCGGUAAUACGGGGGGUGCAAGCGUUGUUCGGAAUUAUUGGGCGUAAAGAGCGUGUAGGCGGUUUGUUUAGUCUGAUGUGAAAGCCCUGGGCUCAACCCAGGAAGUGCAUUGGAUACUGGCAGACUUGAAUACGGGAGAGGGUAGUGGAAUUCCUAGUGUAGGAGUGAAAUCCGUAGAUAUUAGGAGGAACACCGGUGGCGAAGGCGGCUGCCUGGACCGAUAUUGACGCUGAGACGCGAAAGCGUGGGUAGCAAACAGGAUUAGAUACCCUGGUAGUCCACGCCGUAAACGAUGAGAACUAGGUGUUGCGGGUA
RNAcentral lists this ribosomal RNA (505 nucleotides) under uncultured Geobacter sp. RNAcentral's name for it is "bacterial SSU rRNA". It matches the Rfam family "Bacterial small subunit ribosomal RNA", at positions 335 to 831 of the family's 1533-position model. The record is from RNAcentral. Lineage: Bacteria; Pseudomonadati; Thermodesulfobacteriota; Desulfuromonadia; Geobacterales; Geobacteraceae.